Molecule: ribosomal RNA, 497 nt
Filed under: uncultured bacterium
Lineage: Bacteria
Description: partial 16S ribosomal RNA
Rfam family: Bacterial small subunit ribosomal RNA
Source: RNAcentral
GAUGAACGCUGGCUGCGUGUCUAAUACAUGCAAGUCGAGCGAACGGACUAGAUUCUUGUUUCUCUAGUGUUAGCGUCUGACGGUUUAGUAACACGUGGAUUACCUACCUUUAAGACUGGGAUUACUUCCGGAAACCCCUGCUAAUACCGGGGGAUUUUUUGUACCGGAUGGUUCAAAAGUCUAAGUCUUUCUUUCUGUCACUUAUCUAUGGAUCCGCUCUGUAUUAUCUAGUUGGUAAUGUAACGGCUUACCAAGGCAACGAUGCAUAGCCGACCUGAUAGCGGGAACGGCCACACUGGCACUGAGACACGGUCCAGACUCCUACGGGAGGCAGCCGUAGAGAAUCUUCCGCAAUGGGCGUAAGCCUAACGGAGCAACGCCGCGUGAGUGAUGAAGGUCUUCGAAUCGUAAAACUCUCUUAUUAGGGAAGAACAUAUGUGUAAGUAACUGUGCACAUCUUGACGGUACCUAAUCAGAAAGGCACGGCUAACUACGUG